GACGAACGCUGGCGGCGUGCUUAACACAUGCAAGUCGAACGGUGAAAGCGGAGCUUGCUCCGCUGGAUCAGUGGCGAACGGGUGAGUAACACGCGGGCAACCUGCCCCUCACUUCGGGAUAACUCCGGGAAACCGGGGCUAAUACCGGAUAUGACCUCCUUGGGCAUCCUUGGAGGUGGAAAGUUUUUCGGUGAGGGAUGGGCCCGCGGCCUAUCAGCUUGUUGGUGAGGUAGUGGCUCACCAAGGCGACGACGGGUAGCCGGCCUGAGAGGGCGACCGGCCAGACUGGGACUGAGACACGGCCCCGACUCCGACGGGAGGCAGCAGUGGGGAAUAUUGCGCAAUGGGCGAAAGCCUGACGCAGCAACGCCGCGUGCGGGAUGACGGCCUUCGGGUUGUAAACCGCUUUCAGCAGGGAAGAAGCCGCAAGGUGACGGUACCUGCAGAAGAAGCACCGGCUAACUACGUGCCAGCCGCCGCCGUAA
Molecule: ribosomal RNA, 485 nt
Filed under: uncultured bacterium
Lineage: Bacteria
Description: partial 16S ribosomal RNA
Rfam family: Bacterial small subunit ribosomal RNA
Source: RNAcentral